RNAcentral lists this ribosomal RNA (253 nucleotides) under uncultured bacterium. RNAcentral describes it as "partial 16S ribosomal RNA". It matches the Rfam family "Bacterial small subunit ribosomal RNA", at positions 524 to 776 of the family's 1533-position model. The record is from RNAcentral.
UACGUAGGGUGCGAGCGUUGCCCGGAUUUAUUGGGCGUAAAGGGCGCGUAGGCGGCCACGCACGUCCGUUGUGAAAUCGCCCGGCUCAACUGGGCGGGGUCAGCGGAUACGGUGUGGCUCGAGGACGGUAGAGGGGGGUGGAAUUCCCGGUGUAGUGGUGAAAUGCGUAGAGAUCGGGAGGAACACCUGUGGCGAAGGCGGCCCCCUGGGCCGGCCCUGACACUGAGACGCGAAGGCGUGGGGAGCGAACGGG